Molecule: ribosomal RNA, 424 nt
Filed under: Escherichia coli
Lineage: Bacteria; Pseudomonadati; Pseudomonadota; Gammaproteobacteria; Enterobacterales; Enterobacteriaceae
Also listed under: 1 other name
Description: bacterial SSU rRNA
Rfam family: Bacterial small subunit ribosomal RNA
Source: RNAcentral
AAAUUGAAGAGUUUGAUCAUGGCUCAGAUUGAACGCUGGCGGCAGGCCUAACACAUGCAAGUCGAACGGUAACAGGAAGCAGCUUGCUGCUUCGCUGACGAGUGGCGGACGGGUGAGUAAUGUCUGGGAAACUGCCUGAUGGAGGGGGAUAACUACUGGAAACGGUAGCUAAUACCGCAUAAUGUCGCAAGACCAAAGAGGGGGACCUUCGGGCCUCUUGCCAUCGGAUGUGCCCAGAUGGGAUUAGCUUGUUGGUGGGGUAACGGCUCACCAAGGCGACGAUCCCUAGCUGGUCUGAGAGGAUGACCAGCCACACUGGAACUGAGACACGGUCCAGACUCCUACGGGAGGCAGCAGUGGGGAAUAUUGCACAAUGGGCGCAAGCCUGAUGCAGCCAUGCCGCGUGUAUGAAGAAGGCCUUCGG